GCCAGUGUGGCUCAGUGGUUGAGCAUUGAUCCAUAAACCAGAAGGUCAAGGUUCAAUUCCUGGCCAGGGCA
Molecule: non-coding RNA, 71 nt
Organism: Myotis brandtii (Brandt's bat)
Lineage: Eukaryota; Metazoa; Chordata; Mammalia; Chiroptera; Vespertilionidae
Source: Rfam